GUAGGUGGCAAGCGUUGUCCGGAAUUAUUGGGGCGUAGAGCGCGCGCAGGCGGUUCUUUAAGUCUGAUGUGAAAGCCCACGGGCUCAACCGUGGAGGGUCAUUGGAAACUGGAGAACUUGAGUACAGAAGAGGAAAGCGGAAUUCCACGUGUAGCGGUGAAAUGCGUAGAGAUGUGGAGGAACACCAGUGGCGAAGGCGGCUUUCUGGUCUGUAACUGACGCUGAGGCGCGAAAGCGUGGGGAGCAAACAGGAUUAGAUACCCUGGUAGUCCACGCCGUAAACGAUGAGUGCUAAGUGUUAGGGGGUUUCCGCCCCUUAGUGCUGCAGCUAACGCAUUAAGCACUCCGCCUGGGGAGUACGGCCGCAAGGCUG
RNAcentral lists this ribosomal RNA (373 nucleotides) under uncultured organism. RNAcentral describes it as "partial 16S ribosomal RNA". It matches the Rfam family "Bacterial small subunit ribosomal RNA", at positions 527 to 896 of the family's 1533-position model. The record is from RNAcentral.